CACGCCCUCCGCCCUGGAUCUGAAGCUUCUCCUCGCGCCUCUCCUGCUCGGGCCCUCCCCCACACCUCCGGUUGCUGGCCUUCGACCUCAUCCCGCCGUGGAUCUCGCGGCCUGGUCUUCUUCUCUUCAGGCAGGAUGUCAACAUCAGAGAACACCACCGCCCAAACAGAGUCCGAAAGGCCGAUAGCUCUGAAGAGGAAAUCCAAUGAUGUUGGAUGGAACUAUGGGAAACUAUGUGAUGUCACAAACAAGGAGAGGGUGAAGUGUGACUUUUGUGGCCAUAUUAGCACCGGAGGAAUUAACCGUUUCAAGCUACACAUCACAGGCACCACCUCAAGUGUUCUUUCAUGUUUAAGAUCAACUCCGGAGGCUAAAGCAAUAUGCCAGAGAGCUCUUGAUGCAUAUGAUGCAUACGGGUGAGACUAUUGUGGAUCGUGGCCGUGGUACUUUGGUUUGGUAGCACUAAGCAAGUUUAAGACUUUUAUUUGUUAUGUAAUAUGCUUGCUUGUGAAGUUGUGAACUUGUGAUAUGUUC
This is a long non-coding RNA of Triticum dicoccoides, 534 nucleotides long. RefSeq lists it as uncharacterized. The transcript has 2 exons. The record is from RefSeq and is a predicted model, not a curated record. NCBI's taxonomy places the organism in Eukaryota, Viridiplantae, Streptophyta, Magnoliopsida, Poales, Poaceae.